UCGGCUUGCGUACUAACUAAACAUAUAACUGCAUGUCCUCAGGCUGCCGCGAUCAGUUGCAUAAUGGAUGGAGUUCCUUAAGACUAAUGCUCGUCAUGCGUCACUACUUCCGAAGAGAGGUCGCCGGCAAACUGACGGCGCUCGAAUGAGGAAUGAGAGGAAAAAGAUAUUCAUCAGAAGUAUUAAUGAACGUUGGAACCUCACCGUCUUUGGGGAUCACAUGGCCAAGGGAUAUUGCUCGCGAAAUCCUUCCUACAGCGUAUCGCCUAUCGCCUUCUUGACAUAUUUUUUUUCUUUUGUGUCCCUUAUCACGAUAGCAGAUAUAUUCUCCUUCGCAGUGAUAUAUACGACCUAUCGUCCCCAAUACUCGUUUAUUUAUCAAGGAUGAGAACUCUGGAGAUUGAACUGCCAAUGAGCUCUACGAGCUGAGGGAUCUAACAGAGAACGAGAGCUGAGUUGAACCAGUACGAGAUGCUUACAUUGAGAUCAAUUAGACAGAUAUUGUCGGAAUUCGUCUUCCAAGAAGACGAGACUCGCGUUGAGGCUGUGAAAGUUGGUAUAACCGAUAUGCACCACAUUGUGGGCUUGCAGAAGGAUUCCAUGGGGGUGGCAGACCUUGGAACUUCAGUCGAAUGGUAUCUGCGUGACGAGGUGAAGGAUAGUGAUGGGCAUAAGACUGAGCUUGGGAGGGGGGAGAUUGGUGAAGAUCUACGAGUUCCCCCAAGUGAAAAGGAUACUUGACCUUAACUAAGGGAACAUUUCUUUCAGUGGAAAACACAUUUUGCAAGGGAAAACAGAUAGAUGGCCAACAAACGUACCGCCCUAACUCUUUUUCCCAAAUAUUUGCUUUGCUUAUUCCACACCGAGACCGAAAAAUCGCAAAGACCGACUUGCCUACCCAUGUGAUCCUAAUAAAGUCAAUUCGAAAGACUGGAGACUCAAGACUUUAAAGAUUAACGUUUCUAUUGACGUGCGACCUUUUAUUACAAAACACGCACAUCCCAUCACAAGUAAAGGUAAGUGAGUGAGCAAUGAGCAUGUGGGUGAUGGUCUAGUUGGCGCAAAUAGUGUCAGAAUUUUUUGUGGGAGAUAAAGGGAGGGGGUGCCUCGA
RNAcentral lists this small RNA (1111 nucleotides) under Cryptococcus neoformans H99. Its description in RNAcentral is "Cryptococcus neoformans var. grubii H99 hypothetical RNA". Lineage: Eukaryota; Fungi; Basidiomycota; Tremellomycetes; Tremellales; Cryptococcaceae. The record is from RNAcentral.